RNAcentral lists this ribosomal RNA (680 nucleotides) under uncultured cyanobacterium. RNAcentral describes it as "bacterial SSU rRNA". It matches the Rfam family "Bacterial small subunit ribosomal RNA", at positions 61 to 731 of the family's 1533-position model. The record is from RNAcentral. Lineage: Bacteria; Bacillati; Cyanobacteriota.
GUCGCACGGGAAUACAUGAGUAGUAAUACAAGUGUUGUCUAGUGGCGCACGGGUGAGUAACAUGUGAAUUACAUGCCCUAUAGUGGGGAAUAGCCCAGGGAAACUUGGAUUAAUACCCCAUAGUCUCGCAAGAGUAAAGGUGGCUGGUAACAGCUGUCGCUAUAGGAUUGGUUCGCACCCUAUCAGCUUGUUGGUGAGGUAAUGGCUCACCAAGGCUACGACGGGUACCUGGUCUGAGAGGACGAUCAGGCACACUGGAACUGAGACACGGUCCAGACACCUACGGGUGGCAGCAGUCGAGAAUAAUUCACAAUGGGGGCAACCCUGAUGGUGCAACGCCGCGUGGAGGAUGACGGUCUUCGGAUUGUAAACUCCUGUCAUCUGGGAGUAAGGCAUGGGUGUUAAUAGCACACAUGAUUGAUAGUACCAGAAGAGGAAGGGACGGCUAACUUCGUGCCAGCAGCCGCGGUAAUACGAAGGUCCCAAGCGUUAUUCGGAAUCACUGGGCGUAAAGGGAGCGUAGGCGGCGUGGUAAGUCAGAUGUGAAAUCCCGGGGCUCAACCCCGGAACUGCAUCCGAUACCGCCAUGCUAGAGGAUUGGAGAGGUAGCUGGAAUUCUUGGUGUAGCAGUGAAAUGCGUAGAGAUCAAGAGGAACACUCGUGGCGAAAGCGAGCUACUG